UACAGAGGCCCCGAGCGUUAUCCGGAAUCACUGGGCGUAAAGGGUGUCGAGGCGGUCAUGUUAGUCGUUCGUAAAAUCUACGAGCUCAACUUGUAGGCGGCGAACGAAACGGCAUGACUUGAGGUUGGGAGAGGUGCGUGGAACUCACGGUGUAGGGGUGAAAUCCGUUGAUAUCGUGGGGAACACCAAAGGCGAAGGCAGCGCACUGGCCCAAAUCUGACGCUCACACACGAAAGCUAGGGUAGCGAACGGG
RNAcentral lists this ribosomal RNA (253 nucleotides) under uncultured bacterium. Its description in RNAcentral is "partial 16S ribosomal RNA". It matches the Rfam family "Bacterial small subunit ribosomal RNA", at positions 524 to 776 of the family's 1533-position model. The record is from RNAcentral.